RNAcentral lists this non-coding RNA (30 nucleotides) under Rattus norvegicus (Norway rat). Lineage: Eukaryota; Metazoa; Chordata; Mammalia; Rodentia; Muridae. The record is from RNAcentral.
UGGGCUUGAAUCUUAAGAGCUGGAUGUCCC